This 328-nucleotide ribosomal RNA is filed under the name uncultured eukaryote. RNAcentral's name for it is "partial 18S ribosomal RNA". It matches the Rfam family "Eukaryotic small subunit ribosomal RNA", at positions 1470 to 1796 of the family's 1831-position model. The record is from RNAcentral.
CCCUUAGAUGUUCUGGGCUGCACGCGCGCUACACUGAUGCGCUCAACGAGUUUUAACCUUGCCUGGAAAGGUUGGGUAAUCUUUUUAAAACGCAUCGUGAUGGGGAUAGAUUAUUGCAAUUAUUAAUCUUCAACGAGGAAUUCCUAGUAAGCGCGAGUCAUCAGCUUGCGUUGAUUACGUCCCUGCCCUUUGUACACACCGCCCGUCGCUCCUACCGAUUGAAUGGUCCGGUGAAGCGUUCGGACCGUGGCCUUUGGACGGUUCGCCGUCUGUUGGCUGCGGGAAGUUCGUUAAACCUUAUCAUUUAGAGGAAGGAGAAGUCGUAACA